AUACUACUAAAUCUACUAACUAACUAAAUCUGCCAACUAACCUACCACUAAAUGUACUAAUUAACUAAACCUAGCACUAACCUACCACAAAAUAUACCACUAAUUAACAAAAAAAACAAAAACAACAAAAAAAUAAAAAUAAACCUAGCACUAAUUAACUAAACCUAGCACUAACCUACGACGAAAUCUACUAACUAACUAAAUCU
This 206-nucleotide long non-coding RNA is filed under the name Hordeum vulgare. Its description in RNAcentral is "long non-coding RNA (HVUL_LNC009898)". The record is from RNAcentral. Lineage: Eukaryota; Viridiplantae; Streptophyta; Magnoliopsida; Poales; Poaceae.